UCGAUCACUUUUGGCUUUUAUAUGAAAUUCCUUUUAAUUAAAAAUGUAUAAAUUACUCUCCAAGUAUAUCUCACUUAUUCUUUUCUUAAGAGAGGGACAUAAACUUGAGACAAUCUACAUUUAAAGUAAUAAUAAUCAUAACCUUUUAAUGCAAUUAGGUUCUUUCAUUAUUUGUUCAUUAAAAUUGCUAUAUGUUUGUUGCUGAAGUUACCCAAGCACUUAAAUGAUAACUUAUAUACAUGAAAAUAAUAAGGGAUAGUUACGUAAUUCUACCACCAUAUUCGG
RNAcentral lists this long non-coding RNA (285 nucleotides) under Elaeis guineensis (African oil palm). RNAcentral describes it as "long non-coding RNA (EGUI_LNC019288)". The record is from RNAcentral. Lineage: Eukaryota; Viridiplantae; Streptophyta; Magnoliopsida; Arecales; Arecaceae.